AUGAACGCUGGCGGCGUGCCUAAUACAUGCAAGUCGAGCGAACAGACGAGGAGCUUGCUCCUCUGACGUUAGCGGCGGACGGGUGAGUAACACGUGGAUAACCUACCUAUAAGACUGGGAUAACUUCGGGAAACCGGAGCUAAUACCGGAUAAUAUAUUGAACCGCAUGGUUCAAUAGUGAAAGACGGUUUUGCUGUCACUUAUAGAUGGAUCCGCGCCGCAUUAGCUAGUUGGUAAGGUAACGGCUUACCAAGGCGACGAUGCGUAGCCGACCUGAGAGGGUGAACGGCCAAACAGGAACUGAGACACGGUCCAGACUCCUACGGGAAGCAGCAGUAGGGAAUCUUCCGCAAUGGGCGAAAGCCUGACGGAGCAACGCCGCGUGAGUGAUGAAGGUCUUCGGAUCGUAAAACUCUGUUAUUAGGGAAGAAAAAAUGUGUAAGUAACUAUGCACGGCUUGACGGUACCUAAUCAGAAAGCCACGGCUAACUACGUG
This 496-nucleotide ribosomal RNA is filed under the name uncultured bacterium. RNAcentral describes it as "partial 16S ribosomal RNA". It matches the Rfam family "Bacterial small subunit ribosomal RNA", at positions 29 to 507 of the family's 1533-position model. The record is from RNAcentral.